UACGUAGGGUGCGAGCGUUAAUCGGAAUUACUGGGCGUAAAGCGUGCGCAGGCGGUUCGUUGUGUCCGAUGUGAAAGCCCCGGGCUUAACCUGGGAACUGCAUCUGAUACUGGAUGGCUUGAGUUCGGGAGAGGGAUGCGGAAUUCCAGGUGUAGCGGUGAAAUGCGUAGAUAUCUGGAGGAACACCGGUGGCGAAGGCGGCAUCCUGGACCGACACUGACGCUGAGGAGCGAAAGCCAGGGGAGCAAACGGG
Molecule: ribosomal RNA, 253 nt
Filed under: uncultured bacterium
Lineage: Bacteria
Description: partial 16S ribosomal RNA
Rfam family: Bacterial small subunit ribosomal RNA
Source: RNAcentral